This 401-nucleotide ribosomal RNA is filed under the name uncultured bacterium. Its description in RNAcentral is "bacterial SSU rRNA". It matches the Rfam family "Bacterial small subunit ribosomal RNA", at positions 355 to 773 of the family's 1533-position model. The record is from RNAcentral.
UGGGGAAUCUUGCACAAUGGAGGAAACUCUGAUGCAGCGACGCCGCGUGAGCGAUGAAGCCCUUCGGGGUGUAAAGCUCUUUCGACGGGAACGAUAAUGACGGUACCCGGAGAAGAAGCUGCGGCUAACUACGUGCCAGCAGCCGCGGUAAUACGUAGGCAGCAAACGUUGUUCGGAAUUACUGGGCGUAAAGAGUGUGUAGGCGGUUUUGCAAGUUUGGUGUGAAAUCUCCCGGCUUAACUGGGAGGGUGCGCCGAAAACUGCAAGGCUCGAGUACUGGAGAGGAAAGCGGAAUUCCUGGUGUAGCGGUGAAAUGCGUAGAUAUCAGGAGGAACACCGGUGGUGUAGACGGCUUUCUGGACAGUCACUGACGCUGAGACACGAAAGCGUGGGGAGCAAAC